Long non-coding RNA from Vulpes vulpes (red fox), 1132 nucleotides. The record is from Ensembl. NCBI's taxonomy places the organism in Eukaryota, Metazoa, Chordata, Mammalia, Carnivora, Canidae.
GCCACCUUGGCUCCUAAAGGCCAGAUUUAGAGGAAGAGGGGGGCAAGCUUUGCGUACCUCAUUCGCAACACAGCUGGGAGGAAAGCAAACUGCCUGAAAUGCAGCCUAAGAAUUCGGUGAAGAAGGGAGCGCAGCAGACAAACAGGCCAGGUGCCGGCGAUGCAAAUGAAAUGGAUGACAGAUGGCGAGUAGCACGCUCACUCACUGCGCCUGUAUAAUGGAUAGAGUGCUGACUGCUGUCAGAGUGAACGGUCCAGAUUCCCGUGUGCUGGUAUCCAUGGGCUUCGUCUUGCCAAGCUGCCAGUCUGGAGCGUCACACCUUACUGCCUUUAAAGAUUGCCCUGCAGAGAUAGAGGGAAAUGGCAAUUUUUACAUGAUGCAGUCUGGCGACCCAGGAGAUUUGAAGUCAGAACUGGUGCCAAGAUUUACCCAGGAGAGCAAGCAGAGGCAAAAACAGAGAACCUGGGCCAAAAGGAAAAAAAAUAAAUAAAAGAAGAAAGAAGAGGAAGGCUGGGGGAUGGGGAAACCACCAUCAACUCUCUCUGGGGGUUCUCUCCAAAGGCCGGAACUUGAGGCCACUGAGUGGGUGAUGGUCGUGUUAUUAGGAGUUUGUGGGUCCUAAAGAAAGUCAAAGGGAAGAGGUCGGCUUUUUUUGCAUGCCCUAAAUUGUAGUAGAUUGCAGAAUGUAAAUGAGACAAUUAUUACACCAACGCUCAUCAAGCUGGGCUGGAAAGACUUCAAUAGCCUGAUGAAUAUGCAUGCAAAUUUGUUAAUUAAGUUAAUUAUUCUGCUGAAAAUUCAUUUGUCUUCCAAGGACAUUUUCCCAAUGAUUUUAACAUGCUAGCGCCAUUAGUCAUGCUCUGUGCUAUUUAACAUUACUUUUUGUCCACUUUCUUUUCCCCCCACUUUUUUAAAAAAAUAUUUUCAAGUUUUAAAAACAAUUGAUUGGUUCUUUUAAUUGACCCCCACAAAGCUGGAAGAUGCCUAGAGCCAGCUCGGUAGGCAUUCUUGGAAGCACGUUUCAGUUAAAUAUUUCCUUGAUAUAUAAAAUGUCUGCAAAGUGUCACAUUGGUGGGGAGGAGAAGGACUCUAUCUGGGCUCAUUAAAGCCAGAAUUUGAAUCGUUCUCCAUA